AACGGUAUGUAAACUAUCUUCUUUUUGAAGAAAAAAAAUGUUAUGUAUGUGUUCAAAUAUGUAUUGAGAAGAAUUUUUAAAGAUGCACUAGACCAGGUACAAGUGACUCAUGCCUGUAACCCCAGCACUUUGGGAGGCCAAGGCAGGCAGAUCACUUAAGGCCAGGACUUCCAGAUCAGCCUGGCCAACACGAAGAAACCCCGUCUCUACUAAAAAUAUUUUUAAAAUUAGCCAGUCAUGGUGGUGUAUGCCUGUAAUCCCAGCUACUUGAGAGCCUGAGGCAUGAGAAUCGCUUGAACCUAGAAGGCCUAGGUUGCAGUGAGCCGAGAUCGUGCCACUGCACUCCAGCCUGGGUGACAGAGCAAGUCUCAGAAAAAUUAAAAAACUAAAUAAAAGAUAUUCACUAAAGAGUUAUCAGUAAUUCUUCUGUGUGGAGAGGAUAAUGGGGUUCUUUAUGUUCUUUUGUUUAUAUGUAUGUUCUGAUUCUUCUUAAUGAUCACACGUUAUUUUAGUUCUAAAAAGAAAAGAACAUACAGAAUCUACACAAUCUAAAAUGUUAACUUUUUACCAAAUUGUUUUUUACAGAAUGACAUAAAAUCCUAUGGUUUCCAACCAUUUUUUAUACUAGCCUUUUUCCUCAAAUUGAAAUGUCUUUCCCAAUCCCCACACCCAUGAAACUUUUUUUUCCUAGCCUGGUCACUUUAUUGUUUAAACAUUCUGAUAGAGUCGGCUGGGAGUGGUGGCUCAUGCCUGUACUCCCAGCACUUUGGGAGGCCAAGGUGGGCAGAUCACAAGGUCAGGAGAUCAAGACCAUCCUGGCUAACACGGUGAAACCCCGUCUCUACCGGAAAAAAAAAAAUUGACCAGGCGUGGUGGUGGGCGCCUGUAGUCCCAGCUACUCGGGAGGCUGAGGCAGGAGAAUGGCGUGAAUCCAGGAGGUGGAGCUUGCAGUAAGCCGAGAUCACGCCACUGCACUCCAGCCCAGGCAACAGAGCAAGACUCUGUCUCAAAAAAAAAAAAAA
Molecule: long non-coding RNA, 1022 nt
Filed under: Macaca fascicularis (crab-eating macaque)
Lineage: Eukaryota; Metazoa; Chordata; Mammalia; Primates; Cercopithecidae
Description: lncRNA (ENSMFAG00000056357.1)
Source: RNAcentral